Molecule: ribosomal RNA, 234 nt
Filed under: uncultured bacterium
Lineage: Bacteria
Description: partial 16S ribosomal RNA
Rfam family: Bacterial small subunit ribosomal RNA
Source: RNAcentral
UGGCGGACGGGUGAGUAAUGUCUGGGAAACUGCCUGAUGGAGGGGGAUAACUACUGGAAACGGUAGCUAAUACCGCAUAACGUCGCAAGACCAAAGAGGGGGACCUUCGGGCCUCUUGCCAUCGGAUGUGCCCAGAUGGGAUUAGCUAGUAGGUGGGGUAAAGGCUCACCUAGGCGACGAUCCCUAGCUGGUCUGAGAGGAUGCCAGCCACACUGGAACUGAGACACGGUCCAG